Molecule: long non-coding RNA, 1520 nt
Organism: Triticum dicoccoides
Lineage: Eukaryota; Viridiplantae; Streptophyta; Magnoliopsida; Poales; Poaceae
Exons: 2
Source: RefSeq, a predicted model, not a curated record
CCCUCAUCUUUUCCCCCCGUUUCCUCUCACAUGGCUCUCUCCUUUGCACUCUGCCCGGCGACCACCGGAACGUCAGUCGCGCGCUGCUGCUGCCAGGAAGAGGCGACGAAGCAUCCACCAUUACCAUCGCGUCGCCGUCACCACCGGGUGAUGCGUCGCAGCAUCCCAUCGCCGCCGUGCAGCAUCUACUGUCACCGUCGUGUGCUUCGUCAUAGCAACCACGUCGCCGUCGCCCUGCGAUGGAGCACCACCGUGCCGAUGGUGGUGCUCCAGUGAAGCUUCGCCGAGGCCAUCGGGUGCUUCGAUGGAGCACGGCGGGGGCAGCCGAUGCUACAACAGAGAAUCAAUGCGCUGUGGUGACGUUUGCAGUGAAGCUCCGCCGACGGGCUGCUGCGAUGGAGCCCGCCGUGCCGGUGUGGCACUGCAGUGAAACAACGCGGCGCCGCCGGGGCUGCAAUGAAGCGUCGCCGGGUUCGUUAGGCUGCAAUGGAGCGCCGCCAGAGCUGCAGUGAAGCACGUCAGAGUUGUAGUGAAGCGCGCCGAAGCUGCAGUGAAGCAUGCCAGAGGGUCGUCGGAACUUGGUUGGGGUUCCAAUGAAGUGCCGCCGGAGUUGCAAUGAAGCACAACGAAGGGUCGUUGAAAUUUGGUCGGGAUUGCAAUGGAGCUACGCCUGGGCUGCAGUGAAGCACGCCGGAGGGUCGUUGAACCUGGCCUAGGUUGCAAUGGAGGGCCGGCGGCGCCGCCGGUGCUGCCGUGGAAGCUGCUGUUGAGGGAUACAUAUGGUGGAUUUUGCGUCUGAUGGAUAGAAGAGCAGAGAAGGAAGACUGGGUUGUGCUACGAUCAAACGGCCACCUCGUCCAGAUUGGACGAUUGGCAAGGCGGAUGAUUUCUCGAUCGACCACCCUAGGAAAUCAUCCGGCUUAUUCGUAGCAGCCGCCAAUUCCCAAUUUCUCGAUCGAUCGAACAACUUAACAGGGAACUGACGAAUUGUUUUUAGGGCGCUCGAAUCAUUGCGCCCAUGUUGCCGAUUAGAUUACAGAGAGAAGGGUCAUGUCAAGUUCGGGUAGAAAGUAUCCAUCCGGAGGUCAUAAAAGUAAAAGGAAGAAGGAGGCAGAUGAGGAGAAAGAUGCAUUGAGUGGAUCUUUUUUUAAAUAUUAUAAGAGCGAUACAAGCACUCCAAGAAAUCCAGACGAGUUGGCAAUAGUUCUUGCGGGUGGCCAAACUAAUGGCAAUCAGGAAGAUGAUGGUCAUACCCGCACAGAAGGCAAUGUUGACGUCAACAUGGAUGAUAGCAAUGUGAGUGAUCAUGAGCCCAUAUUUAAUUCAUCUACGGCAGAAUCUACUAGUGUUGAUUAGUAACCGGUUACUGUGGAUAUUUAUGAUUCAAGCAAUUGGGGUAAUCUUGAUAACAAAGCGAGGGACAUAUUAGUGAAAAGGGGGCCUAAAAGGGAAGAAGAAAAUACUGAAUAUCCUUUGGAUGAAAAUUCAAGACAUUUUUUGUAUAGUUAUUACUCAACAAA